AUGUCUCUGGAGAGUCCUUCCUCAGACCGAAUCAAUAUUUCAAUCACCUAAAGGGAAGCAAGGCAGUUUAAUCAGCCAUGCUAAAACCAAAACACCUCACCCAUCCUUAACCCCACUCUGACCAAAUGCUAGCUGUAGCACUUAGUCACUUCAGUGUUCAAUUGCUGCAGCUCAGAAAAGGUUGCCAGCACAACUGGGAACAAUUAGCUAUUUUCUGUUGGGGGAUUAGGAGUACCCGGGUGGUAAUUACUAUACUAUUGAUACAACUGGCAGUAAUUGGGAGAAUGUAAGUGGGAGGAACAGGAAGCAGGAGGGGGAGCUCAGAAAUUGAGCUGUACAAAGGAGAGAAGCAGCGUGGAAAGCUCCUGCUGCAAUAUGCCUGUGUCCUGUUCUGUUUAAAAAAGAACUGUGGAAUAAAAAGAUACAUGUGAUGAAAGGAAAAUGGCCUGGGUGUGUUUAUGACUGUGAGACCAUGGGAACAAGCUGGAAAGCAUGGUGCACUCAUCAACUGACCAUUCAUUUCCGGUCCAGUUCAAUUCUCCCUCCUUGUUUUUAAAAGCUCCAGCUUCUAUUACAUACCUUGCAUGUUUCUGCUUCUCUUCCCGAUACCUCUGCUCAUCCCACACACUCCCCUCACCCCAAAACACAUCAUCUUGCCAUAGCUAGUGCAAAAGCAUUCUAUGCUGGAAUCCUGUGGUCUGGAAGUUUCCCUACAUCAAUUUUCCACCUGAUUCCAAGCCUCAGAGGACCUCUGUUAUACAGGAGUUCAGACUAGACGAUCAUAAUGGUCCCUUCUGACCUUAGAAUCAAUGAAGACAUUUCCUGCUGUCAUAUAUCUGUUUCUUUCUCCCACUCCUCCUCCUCCAUCUUCACUGAGUGAAAAUAGUUUAGUUCUUCACAGAAUUUUAAGAUCCAGUAUAAAAAGGCUUCAUAUGAAAUUGUGAUUAUAUAUACAUGUACACCAUCAUUUACAGUUUAUAAUUAGAUUUAAAUUUGGUUUUUAAUUGAUGCUCUACCACUCUAUAACUAGGUAAUGUUCACAAAUACCAUUACCCAUCAAUUUAAAACUUCAUUUGAAAAAAGGUUAAAGCUCUUAAGGUUGUGAAGCUAGCCUUACAAAGAACAACCUGACACAACAGAUAUUAGUCACGUCACUUAAUGCUCUGAGACAAUACAGUGAUGAGUAUGGUUUAAGAGCCUAUAUUAAAUAGGAAAUGUGAUUCAAGUGUAAACCAAUGCUGCGGAAGAGAAAGUUAGUCACCUUGUGCAGUAACGUAGGUUCUUCGAAAUGUGUCCCCCUGUGGGUGCUCGACUUUAGGUGUUCGUGCACCCCUGUGCUCGUAAAAGACGAUUUUUGGUAGCAGUGCCAGGUUGGGUUGCACAUGUGCGGUCCUCAUCUCACACUGCUUGAAGCAGUCAAUUGGUGCUGGCUCUAAUCCUUCUUUACUGCAGAGAUCAAGUAAUAAACCCCAAAGUAGAAGGGAAGAGGAAGGGUAGUGGAGCACCCACUGGGGGACACAUCUCGAAGAACUUCCAUUACUGCACAAGGUAUCUCCUUCCUGUCAGUGGUGUAGAAGGUGCAAAUGAUCUUUUCUGCCAGGCACAAGGAGAUCUCCAGCUAGCUGUCUCAAGCAUCCAACCCAACAUGUAAUUGUUCUUCUCCAAAAAACAGGUGCACUCAUCACACAAGUAACAGCAUGAUGCCAGCCCAGAAGUGAUCCACACGCUGAGUGUCUCUGCUGCUUGGGUGAAAUGCAUGUGACUGAGCGCUGCAACAUCUGCAGGUCAUUCAAGCCGCGGAGGACUCAGAAGGAAAGGGACAUCAAGCUUCACGCCCUCCUGAUGGAAUUGGCUCUGGCCCCUACCCUGGCACAUUGAGUGGACUCGGCACUGCAUCUUCAGUGCGUAGUGAAGUCACCUCCACUAGCCGGCACCACUCCCCUUUCAAGAAGCAAGGGAAGAUUUCCAUCUCACGGUGGCACCGAGAAAAGAAGAGGGGUGAGGAUGGUCCUGAGUCGGGCAGCCCUCAUUCUCCCCCAGGCCCUAGGCCUCUGACUCCUGUUAGCGGCGCAACCCAGUUCUGUCCACAUGUGCCUCCCCUGCAGAGAGGAUCCCAUCGACGCUGGAAGCUGCAAAGGCCGCGCAAGACAUCUUGAACUUACUGAUACCGGGGGCACCACCAGUGUCGGGUCCUCGGUCCCGAGAUAAGCCGCUGCUGGGUGCUCAUCAGACUCCCCCUCCCGGCACAGCGCAGCUCCCACUCUGAGGACUGCUCCUUACCUCGUUCCACGCAGUCUUCUCGCAGCUCACACCAGCCCUCUACACCAGUAAGGUUGACUGGCUCGCUGCUCGAACGGGAGUCUCAAGGCCCCUUCAUCAGCGCAGUGACGGUUGCAGGCACCAUGACAGGCGCCAUAAACGCUUUUCAUGUCACAGCUACUGCAGCUGGUCCCGAUGCCAUCAACAUUCCCACUCAAAUUCCCGCUCUGCCAGGCAUCGCAAUCGGGACUCCUCUCGCAAUUCACCAGCACAGGAACAUCGUAGCUCCUGGCACCGGGUGAGUACUAGAGAAGCACUUCCGAUGGGUACCGGGUCCUCAGCGUCGAGGUCCCGGUCCCGCAGAAGGCACAGUCGUAGGCACCACUGCUCUUGCCGCUCCUAUGAGACUGUGCGCUCAACAGUGACCUCAGCAUUGGCACCUAGCCACCCAUUACCAGGUCAUGAGGCUCAGCUGGAACAAACUGCACCACCGGGCCCUCAAAUUGGUCAGUGGCAAGGGGCACCAUGGCAAGGAAAGUGAUGUCAAUGGGCACUGUGGCCGCAGAUGCCCACCCAGACGGGAAUCUGCUCAGUGGCUAGAGCGUCCAAGGCAUCUUCAGCCUCCCCUCCUUGGCAGAGGGAUAAGUCAAUACAUCCCGAGUCGGCAGUCCCACGCCCAGACUCCAACCUGGGGACAGAACCCCCGGUACCGCCUGAGACUCUCUGCUCUGCACCGGCCCCCUCUCCAGCACCGGGGAUGUAGGAGAAGUGGUAUGACAGGGACCAGCAGCAAUGCCAUGUGAAAGCCAAGAAGCUGCGGCAGCAUACCAGGCCAGGGAGGCCAACAACCAAUUUGGUGCCAAGCCACAAACCUGCUGCUUUUACAAAGAGCUGCAUGCCAUCCUCAGCAGAGAUUGCACCACCACUCUCAACAGCACCAUGAAUACAUCGAAGGAACCUAAGUCACAAGCUCCUGCCAUGAACAGCAAAGAGAAGGAUGGGGAUAGGUGACCAAGGGAUCCAGCUGUGCAGUGAGCCAGGACCUAUUUUUACUCCAUCACAGUCCAGCACGAGUGAGCCCAAUGUAGGGGAAGGAACCGCAGGGAACAGUGUAAAUAAAUUUUUAAUUACAGAGUUGUUCUCCCUCCUCCCCCCAAAGCAAGACACAAUCUUUCCACUUUUCAUUAAUUUACUCAUGCUAGAAGACAUAGUGGUACAAUCAAGAGAGGUAGAGCUGCUAUCUGAUUUUCAUUUCCCUCUAGAGCUAGGGACCAUGCAUAGCAGUUUAUGUACACAGGGAUGUUCCUUGAAUCCUCCUCAGAGAUCUCGACGAAACUUUCAUGGAAGUACUCUGCAAUCCUCUGAUGGUUUCGAGUGAGGGCUGCCUUGUUUCUUUCUUCAAGGUUGGACACUUUCCCAUGCCACUCAGUGAUAACUUCAGCAGGCACUAUUGCAGUACACUGGGUAGAGCACAUGGGCCCAGGUGGCUUUGGGAUAUCUGCUGCAACUGUGUGAGAACCUUUGUUACCCUCAAGAGAUAUCAGCUAAAAAUCAUCUACUGUGGAAAAGGGUGCCAGUAUUUAUUGUCAUUGUCCUAUAUACACUAUUACAAUCAUGCAACCAAGCAAUUCUCUCCUCAUUUCCCUUAUCCCCCAGUAGGCCAUAUUCACCAUGGCUGGUGCAGUGAUUGGUGCCAUGCACAAGAAAUCCCAAGCAGAAGUGAGAAUGUAGUGCUUAAAACUUUUGGGGAGCAACUUCAACAUCUUAAGUUUCACUUUCUAUAGUGAAUGCAUCAGCAAUAGUACCUCUGUGUUUUAUCUUCAGCUGUUGCCACCGUGGCCUUCAGAGUCUCCCCCUCCACACCUGCGGAGCCACAUAAGGUGGAGGAAGAUGAUAACCACUCAGGAUAACACGUUCCAGGACAUCCUGCAAGCCAGUGCUGUAUCAGACCAUAAGCACAGGGCCUGGAGGAUGAACACUGCAGACAGUCUGGAAAAGGAAAGAGUGGAGAGGAGAAAGGCCCAGAAGUCCCAGCAGGAAAAGGAGAGGAAGAUGCACCAGGGCACAGUGGAGCUUCUCAGGCAGCGCAAACAGAUGCAGCAAACUCUGGUGGCUUCCGGAGGUGUUGCAGCACCCUUAAUGUCCAUCGGAGUAGAGUGAUAGAGACAAUCACAGCUUCACAUACACAGACCUGUGAAAGCCAGAGUUAAUAUCUGUGUAGCUGAAAUGGACAUGAAAAUUCUUUCACUGUUCAUAACUAAAUUUAUUAAGUUUAUAAUGUAUUUGUUGUGAAAUUACAAUUUUUGCACUGA
Molecule: long non-coding RNA, 4571 nt
Organism: Gopherus flavomarginatus (Mexican gopher tortoise)
Lineage: Eukaryota; Metazoa; Chordata; Testudines; Testudinidae
Exons: 5
Source: RefSeq, a predicted model, not a curated record